RNAcentral lists this ribosomal RNA (460 nucleotides) under uncultured bacterium. RNAcentral describes it as "partial 16S ribosomal RNA". It matches the Rfam family "Bacterial small subunit ribosomal RNA", at positions 338 to 795 of the family's 1533-position model. The record is from RNAcentral.
CCUACGGGGGGCAGCAGUGAGGAAUAUUGGUCAAUGGGCGCGAGCCUGAACCAGCCAAGUAGCGUGAAGGAUGACUGCCCUACGGGUUGUAAACUUCUUUUAUAAAGGAAUAAAGUGAGGCACUUGUUCCUUUUUGUAUGUACUUUAUGAAUAAGGAUCGGCUAACUCCGUGCCAGCAGCCGCGGUAAUACGGCGGAUCCGAGCGUUAUCCGGAGUUAUUGGGUUUAAGGGGAGCGUAGAUGGGUUGUUAAGUCAGUUGUGAAAGUUUGAGGCUCAACCGUAAAAUUGCAAUUGAUACUGGCAGUCUUGAGUACAGUAGAGGUAGGCGGAAUUCGUGGUGUAGCGGUGAAAUGCUUAGAUAUCAGGAAGAACUCCGAUUGCGAAGGCAGCUUACUAAACUGCCACUGACAUUGAUGCUCGAAAGUGUGGGGAGCAAACAGGAUUAGAUACCCUGGUAGUC